RNAcentral lists this transfer RNA (76 nucleotides) under Camelus bactrianus (Bactrian camel). It matches the Rfam family "tRNA", at positions 5 to 66 of the family's 71-position model. From Rfam's summary of the family: Transfer RNA (tRNA) molecules are approximately 80 nucleotides in length. Their secondary structure includes four short double-helical elements and three loops (D, anti-codon, and T loops). The record is from Rfam by way of RNAcentral. Lineage: Eukaryota; Metazoa; Chordata; Mammalia; Artiodactyla; Camelidae. RNAcentral also lists the same sequence under 2 other names.
GUAUAGCUCAGUGGCAGAGUAUAUGCUUAGAGUGUAUGCUUAGCAUGCACGAGGUCCUGGGUUCAAACCCCAGUAC